UCGAGUCAGCACCACGGUUCCGUGAAAAAGUGUGGAGGUUGCCAGAAGGGGACACACUUGAGUCUUUGUCCCUGGUGUGUGUUGUGUAUAUGUCCUGUGAGUCUGGGAAUUUGUUUCAGUUCUCUGAGCUUCUGGUUUUGUAUGUGUACCAACANNNNNNNNNNNNNNNNNNNNNNNNNNNNNNNNNNNNNNUCCACACACACACACACACACACACACACACACACACACACACACACGAAAGAUCGUGGGAGGAACUGGCACUCAGUGAUGGAGCUUGUUUAAUGUGCAUUGAGCUCUGGGGUCCAUCUCCAGUCUGAUUUUUUCUUUUCUUUUUUGGUUUUUGAGACAGGGUUUCUCUGCAUAGCCCUGGCUGUCCUGGAACUCACUCUGUAGACCAGGCUGGCCUCGAACUCACAGAGAUCCACCUGCCUCUGUCCCCUGAGUGCUGGGAUUGAAGGCGUGUGCGCCACCACCACCAGGCCAGUUUUUUAACAACACAAAGCAAACACUAUUACUCUUACUCCUCUUGGUUUAAUAGUAAGUGGAGGGUUAUAAACCAAUAAGAAACUGGCACUCACUGGCUCAGGUUCUUUAUACAAUAUAUUCUCACACCCAGCUCGGGAGAUUGGUCCCAUUUUUUUCCCAUUUUCCAUGAGGGAACUGAAGGUCAGAGAGGUUGCAGUGUUCACCGUAGGGCACAGCUGGCAUUAACCGUGGGAUCUCUCCUAGCUGGAACAGCGGGUCCUCAGGGGCCCACUCCUGAGCUCCCAGCAGCACACAUAGUAGUGGGGACUCAUCUCUGGCCCCAUCUCCUGGCCAACCCUCUUCUUGUCUCUGUCGGGGUGUUUGGGGCAUGGUUUGCAGAGUGCCUGGGCCAGCCAUUAGAUUAUUGUGAUGUCUGUCAUGGGGUGGGGGUGGAGGGGUUUAUAAGGACUCUGAGGAGGGGUUUGGGGCAAUGUGCUGUUCUGACUGAUGAGCUUCCUGGGUGUGCAAUAGGGGUUGGCCCUGAACUCCUUGACAAGCGAACAGAGGAAGCUGAAGACUGCUUUGUGUCUCUCUCUGGCAGUUACUACCUUAUCCUCAGCUGUGGGGACGCUCCACCCCAGCCGGACAGCAGGAGGGGGUGGGGGUGGGGGCGGAGCCGCGCCCCCCCUCAAUUCCAUCCCCUCUGUCACUCCCCCACCCCCGGCCACCACCAACAGCACAAACCCAAGCCCUCAAGGCAGCCACUCGGCUAUCGGCUUGUCGGGCCUGAACCCCAGCACGGGAAGCACAAUGGUGGGGUUGAGCUCUGGGCUGAGUCCAGCCCUCAUGAGCAAUAACCCUUU
Molecule: long non-coding RNA, 1331 nt
Filed under: Cricetulus griseus (Chinese hamster)
Lineage: Eukaryota; Metazoa; Chordata; Mammalia; Rodentia; Cricetidae
Description: lncRNA (ENSCGRG00000025655.1)
Source: RNAcentral